GAUCAUGGCUCAGGAUGAACGCUAGCUACAGGCUUAACACAUGCAAGUCGAGGGGCAGCAUUUUAGUUUGCUUGCAAACUAAAGAUGGCGACCGGCGCACGGGUGAGUAACACGUAUCCAACCUGCCGAUAACUCGGGGAUAGCCUUUCGAAAGAAAGAUUAAUAUCCGAUGGUAUAUUAAAACCGCAUGGUUUUACUAUUAAAGAAUUUCGGUUAUCGAUGGGGAUGCGUUCCAUUAGUUUGUUGGCGGGUAACGG
This 257-nucleotide ribosomal RNA is filed under the name uncultured bacterium. RNAcentral's name for it is "partial 16S ribosomal RNA". It matches the Rfam family "Bacterial small subunit ribosomal RNA", at positions 15 to 263 of the family's 1533-position model. The record is from RNAcentral.